RNAcentral lists this ribosomal RNA (800 nucleotides) under uncultured Acidobacteriota bacterium. RNAcentral describes it as "bacterial SSU rRNA". It matches the Rfam family "Bacterial small subunit ribosomal RNA", at positions 664 to 1462 of the family's 1533-position model. The record is from RNAcentral. Lineage: Bacteria; Pseudomonadati; Acidobacteriota.
GAAUUCCUGGUGUAGCGGUGAAAUGCGUAGAUAUCAGGAGGAACACCGGUGGUGUAGACGGCUUUCUGGACCGUAACUGACGCUGAGACACGAAAGCGUGGGUAGCAAACAGGAUUAGAUACCCUGGUAGUCCACGCCCUAAACGAUGCAUAUUUGGUGUGGGCAGUUCAUUCUGUCCGUGCCGGAGCUAACGCGUUAAAUAUGCCGCCUGGGGAGUACAGUCGCAAGGCUGAAACUCAAAGGAAUUGACGGGGGCCCGCACAAGCGGUGGAGCAUGUGGUUCAAUUCGACGCAACGCGAAGAACCUUACCUGGGCUCGAACGGCUUCUCAACGGCGUUAGAAAUAGCGCUACCCCGCAAGGGGGUGGAGUCGAGGUGCUGCAUGGCUGUCGUCAGCUCGUGUCGUGAGAUGUUGGGUUAAGUCCCGCAACGAGCGCAACCCUUGUCCUGUGUUGCCAUGCCGCAAGGCGGCACUCGCAGGAGACCGCCAGCGAUAAGCUGGAGGAAGGUGGGGAUGACGUCAAGUCCUCAUGGCCUUUAUGUCCAGGGCUACACACGUGCUACAAUGGACGGUACAAAGCGUCGCUAACCUGCGAAGGGGAGCCAAUCGCAAAAAACCGUUCUCAGUUCGGAUUGCAGGCUGCAACCCGCCUGCAUGAAGCUGGAAUCGCUAGUAAUGGCAGAUCAGCAUGCUGCCGUGAAUACGUUCCCGGGCCUUGUACACACCGCCCGUCACAUCACGAAAGUGGAUUGUACUAGAAGUCUGCAGGCUGACCCGCAAGGGGGGCAGCGGCCCAAGG